GAUGAACGCUGGCGGCGUGCCUAAUACAUGCAAGUCGAACGAGGUGCCUUUGUAGCAAUACGAAGGUAUCCUAGUGGCGAACGGGUGAGUAACGCGUUGGUGACCUACCCCAAAGUGUGGGAUAACAGAUCGAAAGAUCUGCUAAUACCGCAUGUGGUCUUCGGAUUUAGAAACUGAUGACUAAAGGAGCAAUUCGCUUUGGGAGGGACCUGCGUCCCAUCAGCUAGUUGGUGAGGUAAUGGCUCACCAAGGCUACGACGGGUAGGGGACCUGAGAGGGUGGCCCCCCCACAAUGGAACUGAAACACGGUCCAUACACCUACGGGUGGCAGCAGUAGGGAAUAUUGCACAAUGGGCGAAAGCCUGAUGCAGCAACGCCGCGUGUGCGAUGAAGGCCUU
This 398-nucleotide ribosomal RNA is filed under the name uncultured bacterium. Its description in RNAcentral is "bacterial SSU rRNA". It matches the Rfam family "Bacterial small subunit ribosomal RNA", at positions 28 to 418 of the family's 1533-position model. The record is from RNAcentral.